Molecule: microRNA, 22 nt
Filed under: Asparagus officinalis (garden asparagus)
Lineage: Eukaryota; Viridiplantae; Streptophyta; Magnoliopsida; Asparagales; Asparagaceae
Description: aof-miR12168
Source: miRBase by way of RNAcentral
UUUGAUUAUUGGAUUGUUGCCU